RNAcentral lists this ribosomal RNA (450 nucleotides) under uncultured bacterium. RNAcentral describes it as "partial 16S ribosomal RNA". It matches the Rfam family "Bacterial small subunit ribosomal RNA", at positions 354 to 796 of the family's 1533-position model. The record is from RNAcentral.
GUGGGGAAUUUUGGACAAUGGGGGCAACCCUGAUCCAGCCAUGCCGCGUGCGGGAAGAAGGCCUUCGGGUUGUAAACUGCUUUUGUACGGAACGAAACGGUCCUGGUUAAUACCCGGGGCUAAUGACGGUACCGUAAGAAUAAGCACCGGCUAACUACGUGCCAGCAGCCGCGGUAAUACGUAGGGUGCGAGCGUUAAUCGGAAUUACUGGGCGUAAAGCGUGCGCAGGCGGUGCUGUAAGACAGGCGUGAAAUCCCCGGGCUCAACCUGGGAAUUGCGCUUGUGACUGCAGUGCUGGAGUACGGCAGAGGGGGAUGGAAUUCCGCGUGUAGCAGUGAAAUGCGUAGAUAUGCGGAGGAACACCGAUGGCGAAGGCAGUCCCCUGGGCCUGUACUGACGCUCAUGCACGAAAGCGUGGGGAGCAAACAGGAUUAGAUACCCUUGUAGUCC